UAACCUCCUGGGGUCCGAAGUACUAAUACUAGGACAAAAUCGGUUUGCAGUGAAAGCCCAAGUAUCAAAAUAGACACUUGAUGCCAAGACCCAGCGUGAUAGUACUAGGACAAAAUAUUUACACGCUCCAGGUGGAUUUGAAUUACCCGCCAUGUCAUUUUGACGUUACUGGUUAGUCAGUGUAUAUAUUUGGCAUUGUGGCAGCACUGCUUGAAGUGAGCGGGGAGGGAUAUUUUCGGUCUUCUGUCACAAGACGUCGCAGCAAUGACACGUGCAACGAGAAGAGCUAUAAAAGAUAGUCAAGUAUUGGACUUACUCCAGCAGUCUGAUUUCGAAGACGACGAAGAUGAUCCUUUUGGAGGGAAUGAUACAGACGACGAGUAUAUUCCUUGGAUAUUGGAGAACACGGCCAUCGAAAGCGACAGUGACAGCAGUACCAGCUCAGAACCCGUGAGUGCAAGUCCUCCACCAGCCCCGCAACUUAUUCGAGGACGAGGUCGAGGUCGAUCGCGUACACAGACCCGAAAUUUUUCAAAAGGAACAUUUUGUUGAUUUGAAUGUUAAAAUUUGUUUUUUCUGUAGAAAAUUUAAGUUCCUGCUGUGAAGCAUGCUAUUUUUUUUGUAUCUUAGAUGAUAUUAAUGAUGAUUAAGUUGAUUUCUGCUAGUAUAAAGUGUUAAAACUCUUGUUUUCUAUAAGAUUUUCAAGACUGAUUGAUGUGAUUUAUAUUAUAAGUAAAAGCCCAAAGUGCUAAAUAUAGAACAAAAGAUUA
Cydia pomonella (codling moth) is the source of this 770-nucleotide long non-coding RNA. RefSeq lists it as uncharacterized. The record is from RefSeq and is a predicted model, not a curated record. NCBI's taxonomy places the organism in Eukaryota, Metazoa, Arthropoda, Insecta, Lepidoptera, Tortricidae. The transcript is spliced from 2 exons.